CUCCAUUCAGGUUUGUUCUUCUUUGCAUUCAUAAAAAAUUCGUUGACCCUCUGCUCGAGCUGAUCCAUUGCAUUCUGCACCUGCAGGUCCAUCUCGCGCAUCUCGGUGAACCUGUCGCGCAGAUCCAUGGGAAGCUGCUCGAUCACUGCGGGCACACGGAGGGAGGGGCGGGGGAGAGAGGGGGGGGUGUCAGUCGCUCACCGCCGUGGGGGAGGGGGCGCCGCCACGUCGCCGCGCCCUCUCCCCGGCUCCCCUCCGCCGGCCGUGCCCGGCCGCCCGGCGUCCCCGUCCCGCACACACUCACUCUCCAGAUAGUCCUCCAGAUACAGCAUGGCGGCGGCCGGGCCAGCGCCAAGGGGCUUCUCGCUAACGGGGGCUCGUCCCUUCCAAUAUGGCGCCGCCGCCAACAACACCGGCGGCUCGACUCAGCGAAAACAACAUUGGCGGCUGACGGCGCCCGCCUCGGCCGCGCCGCGAUUGGCUGCCCGCGCCCGUGACGCGCCCGCGGCUCGCGCUGCUCUCGCGGCAUCACGGGAAAUGGAGUUCCGCGGGGCAGGGCCGGGGAACUACGCGGGCCGCCGUGCACCGCGGCGUGCGCCUCCCGCGGCGGGGGCGGGACCGGGAGGGCGGGAGCGCGAGGGUGGUGCGUCCCACUGCUGCUUGGCACUGGUGUGGGGUGUGUUAGGGGGAGAGUUGCACAGAAAACUUAAAAUAGGAAAAAAACGCCAUGAAAGGAGUUAAUGUGUAGUUGUUAUGCCUUGCGGUGUGUGGCCCGCUGUGAGGAGAGCUGCUCUGUAGCACGCACAGCGACGCAGGCACCAACUGACACAGUCCGACUGAAGUUUCUUCAGGCUCAGAACUGUUGCUAAGAGUAGAGAAUGCAUUGCAGGCAUGUAGUAUUGACUGCAGCCCGGUUACAGUGCUUACUGUAGUUGAUUUUAAAGCGUUGAGGGCUGACGGUUUUCAUGCACUUUCAGUUCCUGAAGUGCUUCAUUUCAUUACUGCUGUAGCAUUGUUCUGUUGGUCUAAUUAUGGACAAGUGCACGGAAGACAAUGAUUGUUUCCAUCCAGGCCUGCUUACAAUGCAACUUGAUUUUCAGCAGAUUUUCAGGCUGGGAGGGGGAAUUUCUGUGGACCACUUAAUGUGAGGUGCGGGCAUAGGAAGUGCAGGAGACACUGUUGCAGAACAGAGUGGAUUUCCAUACGCUCUUGUUUACCUGUUGUCACCUGUCGCGUGUACAUGAGCAAGGAAAGGACGUGUGUGCUUAAGCCAUGUCCAAGUAAAUACCUGUAUUUGCUUUGUGACAGAAGUUCUUGGGACAACCAGGGUGUUGGGACCUUGUCAGAGAAUCACAGAAUGGCCCGGGUUGGAAGGGACCUCAAGGAUCAUGAAGCUCCAGCCGCCGCCCACCACAGGCAGGCCCACCAACCUCCAUGUUUAAUACUGGACUCAUCCUUGUGACUGCUUGUAUGCCCCAGUUUUUAUGCCUGGCUUUGCCACAUCCUCAUCUUGGCAAGCUUUGGGAAUAACCAGUAAAAUCAUCCCUGAGGGCUAUCGUGCAGGGAUAUUUUCAUCUAACUCCUGUGAGUUGUGGUGCCCGGGUCUAAGAAUCACCACUCUUGUGAUUGUGUGUCAGUCAUUCCCUGUAGUAGCAGUGUGUGCCCGGAUAAUAUUAGUGGAAGGGGAAGAUGAGGCUCAGGCUUGCCAACAGUAUGGCUGACAAAAUUCCAGUGGGGCUGGCACCUGCUGUCUCCAAGGUCUGAGUGUGCCUGUUUAUGGUUCAUGGUUCACUGUUGUAUGUGAGAGACCUUUAAAAAAUUGAAAGCUUGUUUAAAAACUGUUCACUGUAGUGUUUUGAAACAAGGGAUGAAAGGGAAUCAUGUAGUUGAAUACAAGUGAAAAUACUAUUUCACUUUGCCCAGCAUCUGAGUAGAGUCAAACAGGUACUUAAUUUAUCUAUCUGUAGUCUCCUGUAGCCUUCAUUGGUAUCUAACAAGUGGAAAAACUGUAACAUUUUCCAUUUCUGCCAAUGUUAACUCAUAUUGCAUAGUUAAAUGAGUAACCACGCUAAAUUCAGUAGGAUAGUGUGUAUGAGGGCUGCUCAUCACAACAGACUGACGUAACUCAGUUUAAACAGAGCUUUUUUAGCAGUGGUCAGCCACUCCAGACAUACAAAAGGGGCUGUUCUUAGAGCUGAAAGCUUCCUGUUGAGUAUAGAUGAAACGAAUUAACUCUAUUGAUUAAGCUAACUUUUAGAGCAGCCUAAUAAGAACAGCUCCCGACAAAGAAACAUAGAUUAAUGACAGUAUUUUGGGGGGAUUCAAAUACAGUAAAAAAAGAACUAAACACCAACUGUAAACUUGAGGUAAAAAUAAAUGCAAGUUUUAAAUUGCAAUGGACAUUGCUUAGAAAACUUCCUUACAGCAACAGAACUGCUUAGCACAGAGAAGGGAAGGGAAGCUACUGGAGUUGCUUUUUCUUUUCCUGCUAAUAUAACAUUAUUAGUGUUGAUGAUGUUUCUCCCAUAAAUGUUUCAUGUAAAUAGCAUAUCAUCACCUGUGACAGUGAUGGUAUAAAGGAAUAUUACACUUGCCCUGUGAUCUACCUAAAGCUAAUUGCUUGCAUAGGCUUCAUUACUUUUCAACUGUCAGGGAAAAAAACUGAUCAAUAACAUGGUUGUAUGUUCUGAUGUACGUCUCAGACAGUGUAAAGACUGUUAAACAUUCUCCCACUCUUCUGUUCUUUCCAAGUCUCUCUAAUGUCCUAAUACUCUGUAACUGUUGUUUAAUUUUCAAGAACUGAUUGCUAGAUGUUUGAUUUGAGCAAACUGGGGAAGAGCUACCCAGCCCAUCCCUGGCUGACACUCCAGGUCUCAGCUCCUGCUGUUAGAUUCCUGUGCUCUCUUCUCACAAGAAAGCCUCUCAGCCCUUUACGUACAGAGACUGCUGACAUGGGGCAUGGAAAGCCAAACCCAUCUGUUACUGACAACUUGCCUGUUUGCACAGAACUUUAGGAUAGUGACAACUGAGCAGCACCAGACAAGGGUGCAACAGUGCCAGCGUACAGCUACCAGCCUGAGCAGUGUGUUUGCUUUUCUUUGGCACCUGCCAGUGCUGUGCUGCAGAAGUCCUGGCUGGUGGGCCAGAAUCCAUUCAUCAUGGUGCACUGCUGCAAGGAUACGUUGUUGUAGCAGCAUUCAGAGCUGUUUUGUCUGCCAAAGCCAGUAUCAGGCCUGUUGGUCUCCUCACUUAUUUUAUUAUAAUUCUCCCACUUCCUGUUUGUUGCAUGCUAUUUUUCUGCUGCUGCUGCUGUUGUUUUUCCAUUCUCUUCAGUUCUCCCUGUCUCACAGUCCAGCUGUCCCUCCCAGCUGCCAUGGAGCCCAUCAUUGCCCAUAUUCCACUGCUACCGAUACAGGGACAUCACCCACAGCCGCAUACUCACUGCAGGAAAUAACUGUCAUUCCUGCUGUACUGCACACCAUGGCUGUUGGAGGACAUUUGUUAAAUAACUAAAUUGUCUUGAGACUUGAGUACCAUGUAAGAGUUACAGCAUGAUCAUAUUUGUUCUGGACAAUCAACUUCAUGUAAUGGGAAACUCCAUUCGAAGCCAGAUCCUAGGAAAAAGCAGGAUGAGGCUAUCAAAUAAUGUUACCCUUGUCUAGUACAGCACUAUGCAGAAACUUCACACUUCUGUGAAAUGAUCCUCAAAAGAGCAAAUUGGCCCAGCAGUAUUGUGGCUGCAUGGUACUCUAACUGAGAAAUCACACUAAUUUUCUACUUAUUACAAACUCUUUCAAAUUCUUUGUAUUCACAUUCUUAUUUCUGGAAACAAAUCCAUGACCUGAGAUAAUUAAUUUACUUCAACAGUCAACAGGAAAAUGGAUCUGCCAUUUAUCUUUCAGCUUGACUUUGUGUACAGACUCAGGCAAUUACAUCUCCAUCUUUUAGUUAAUUUUGUCUGCUACAGACUCAGUUAAAUUUACUUGCAGAUUUCAGUUAUUUCCUGAAAGUCUGCAGGAUAUGAGCGAUCACUGUUUGUGUAUUAAUCACUGAGAUGUUUUUUUCCUGACUUCCUAAGGAAAUAAAGCUUACAUAAGCAUUCUGCAUGUCUGUGUGCACACUUUGUCCUUUCUCUCUGCCUUGUCUCUUUGGAAUUAAUUGACUAAUCAACCAAUCUGAAAGAAAAAUAGUCCUCCUAAGAGACUGUAUAUGCCUUAGAUGCUGUGUUGUCCGCAGUAUAUUUUCUUUUUCUUCUUUUCAUUGAGGAAAACGUUGCAGUGUGAACCUGCUACCCUAUUAGGCUCCAGAAAAUCUACAGGAGAGCAAUGUCAUGAGAAUGCCA
RNAcentral lists this long non-coding RNA (4342 nucleotides) under Gallus gallus (chicken). The record is from RNAcentral. Lineage: Eukaryota; Metazoa; Chordata; Aves; Galliformes; Phasianidae.